CGACCAUGUGAAUGUAAGCAAAUCUCAAAAAUAACGUCUCAGUUCGGAUUGUAGUCUGCAACUCGACUACAUGAAGCUGGAAUCGCUAGUAAUCGCGAAUCAGAAUGUCGCGGUGAAUACGUUCCCGGGUCUUGUACACACCGCCCGUCACACCAUGGGAGUCAGUAACGCCCGAAGUCAGUGACCCAACCGAUCUGGAGGGAGCUGCCGAAGGUGGGACCGAUAACUGGGGUGAAGUCGUAACAAGGUACC
Molecule: ribosomal RNA, 252 nt
Filed under: uncultured bacterium
Lineage: Bacteria
Description: partial 16S ribosomal RNA
Rfam family: Bacterial small subunit ribosomal RNA
Source: RNAcentral